Molecule: non-coding RNA, 30 nt
Filed under: Rattus norvegicus (Norway rat)
Lineage: Eukaryota; Metazoa; Chordata; Mammalia; Rodentia; Muridae
Source: RNAcentral
UAUAACGAAGGUUCUCCUGGAGUGGUAUGC